GUGGAUUAGAUACCCUGGUAGUCCACGCCGUAAACGAUGAUGACUAGCUGUCGGGGCGCUUAGCGUUCCGGUGGCGCAGCUAACGCGUUAAGUCAUCCGCCUGGGGAGUACGGCCGCAAGGUUAAAACUCAAAGAAAUUGACGGGGGCCUGCACAAGCGGUGGAGCAUGUGGUUUAAUUCGAAGCAACGCGCAGAACCUUACCAGCGUUUGACAUGGUAGGACGGUUUCCAGAGAUGGAUUCCUUCCCUUACGGGACCUACACACAGGUGCUGCACGGCCGUCGACAACU
This 290-nucleotide ribosomal RNA is filed under the name uncultured bacterium. Its description in RNAcentral is "partial 16S ribosomal RNA". It matches the Rfam family "Bacterial small subunit ribosomal RNA", at positions 773 to 1060 of the family's 1533-position model. The record is from RNAcentral.